CAUGCCGUAAACGAUGAUUACUAGGUGUGGGAGGAUUGACCCCUUCCGUGCCGCAGUUAACACAAUAAGUAAUCCACCUGGGGAGUACGACCGCAAGGUUGAAACUCAAAGGAAUUGACGGGGGCCCGCACAAGCAGUGGAGUAUGUGGUUUAAUUCGAAGCAACGCGAAGAACCUUACCAGGUCUUGACAUCGGAUGCAUACCUAAGAGAUUAGGGAAGUCCUUCGGGACAUCCAGACAGGUGG
This 245-nucleotide ribosomal RNA is filed under the name uncultured bacterium. Its description in RNAcentral is "partial 16S ribosomal RNA". It matches the Rfam family "Bacterial small subunit ribosomal RNA", at positions 796 to 1041 of the family's 1533-position model. The record is from RNAcentral.